This is a ribosomal RNA of Scophthalmus maximus (turbot), 119 nucleotides long. Lineage: Eukaryota; Metazoa; Chordata; Actinopteri; Pleuronectiformes; Scophthalmidae. The record is from Ensembl.
GCUCAUGGCCACACCGCCUGGUUCACGGCUGAUCUCGUUUGAUCUCGGAAGCUAAGAUAGGUUGGGCCUGGUUAGUACUUGGAUGGGAGACCGCCUGGGAAUACCAGGUGCUGUAAGGC